This 253-nucleotide ribosomal RNA is filed under the name uncultured bacterium. RNAcentral describes it as "partial 16S ribosomal RNA". It matches the Rfam family "Bacterial small subunit ribosomal RNA", at positions 524 to 776 of the family's 1533-position model. The record is from RNAcentral.
UACGUAGGGUGCGAGCGUUGUCCGGAAUUAUUGGGCGUAAAGGGCUCGUAGGCGGUUUGUCGCGUCUGCUGUGAAAACCUGAGGCUCAACCUCGGGCUUGCAGUGGGUACGGGCAGACUAGAGUGCGGUAGGGGUGACUGGAAUUCCUGGUGUAGCGGUGGAAUGCGCAGAUAUCAGGAGGAACACCGAUGGCGAAGGCAGGUCACUGGGCCGCAACUGACGCUGAGGAGCGAAAGCAUGGGGAGCGAACAGG